RNAcentral lists this long non-coding RNA (754 nucleotides) under Salvator merianae (Argentine black and white tegu). RNAcentral's name for it is "lncRNA (ENSSMRG00000013286.1)". The record is from RNAcentral. Lineage: Eukaryota; Metazoa; Chordata; Lepidosauria; Squamata; Teiidae.
CAGAAGCUUUUAUUUCAAUUCAGUUGGAGAAACAGGGUCCACGAGACCAAAUGCUGAACACCUUCCUUCAGAAGAAACAGUUCCUGGGAACUAUACUGGAAAAUCAAGAUGAAACUGAGAAAGUUAAAAGAGAGGUUAUUGUUGCAUACUGCUAUAAGAUGAACCAUCGUAUGUCACAGUACUCCCUUCGAAGUCAGAUCAUUGCAUAUUACAACAGCAUAAAAACAAUGCUGGAUGAUUUCCCCAGCGUGAGAGACAAAUACUUCAUGAUAGGGUCACCACAAGAGAAGAAAGGUGAAAAAGAGUUAAAGGAAAAGCUUGAAGAUGAUCCCAGGACAUUCCAGUCACGACCCCGAUGCCUGCUGUCUGCUGAUGGACAGUCUUUCUUGAAUCUGUGGUUCAUACCUCAUCCUUCAGAAGUCUUGUCUGUGUUUCGAAUAUUACCAGAGAAGACUGGCUACAGAGCCCUGAGACAGAUGCUGCAAAUUGUGGCAGCUUUUCACGACAUUGUUUCAUACAUUUUCAGCUUUGCUCAGCUAGGAACUUCCCGAGGCUCCUUGGAUUAUCUGUGUCCUCCUGACCAUUUUGCUGCAGAGUGGGGAGGGACAGAAUGGAUUGGUUAGUAACAAACACUCUCUGUCUUUGGAUGACUGUUCUGGCAAAUUUUAGAGAUAUGUUCAAAGAAAUACCGGUUUGAGAAACAUUAACAAUUCACUUCUAAGCUUUUUGCCUAUAAAUAUAUCCUUCAGUUCGG